This 467-nucleotide ribosomal RNA is filed under the name uncultured bacterium. Its description in RNAcentral is "partial 16S ribosomal RNA". It matches the Rfam family "Bacterial small subunit ribosomal RNA", at positions 28 to 507 of the family's 1533-position model. The record is from RNAcentral.
GACGAACGCUGGCGGCGUGCUUAACACAUGCAAGUCGAACGGAAAGGCCCUGCUUUUGUGGGGUGCUCGAGUGGCGAACGGGUGAGUAACACGUGAGUAACCUGCCCUUGACUUUGGGAUAACUUCAGGAAACUGGGGCUAAUACCGGAUAGGAGCUCCUGCUGCAUGGUGGGGGUUGGAAAGUUUCGGCGGUUGGGGAUGGACUCGCGGCUUAUCAGCUUGUUGGUGGGGUAGUGGCUUACCAAGGCUUUGACGGGUAGCCGGCCUGAGAGGGUGACCGGCCCAAUGGGACCGAGAAUAGGCCCCGACUUCUAAGGGAGGGCGGAGUGGGGAAUAUUGCACAAUGGGCGGAAGCCUGAUGCAGCAACGCCGCGUGCGGGAUGACGGCCUUCGGGUUGUAAACCGCUUUCGCCUGUGACGAAGCGUGAGUGACGGUAAUGGGUAAAGAAGCACCGGCUAACUACGUG